This 253-nucleotide ribosomal RNA is filed under the name uncultured bacterium. RNAcentral describes it as "partial 16S ribosomal RNA". It matches the Rfam family "Bacterial small subunit ribosomal RNA", at positions 524 to 776 of the family's 1533-position model. The record is from RNAcentral.
UACAGAGGUCUCAAGCGUUGUUCGGAUUCAUUGGGCGUAAAGGGUGCGUAGGCGGCGCGGUAAGUCGGGUGUGAAAUCUCGGAGCUUAACUCCGAAACUGCAUUCGAUACUGCCGUGCUUGAGGACUGGAGAGGAGACUGGAAUUUACGGUGUAGCGGUGAAAUGCGUAGAUAUCGUAAGGAACACCAGUGGCGAAGGCGGGUCUCUGGACAAUUCCUGACGCUGAUGCACGAAAGUCAGGGGAGCAAACAUG